This 1199-nucleotide unclassified non-coding RNA is filed under the name Hevea brasiliensis (rubber tree). Lineage: Eukaryota; Viridiplantae; Streptophyta; Magnoliopsida; Malpighiales; Euphorbiaceae. The record is from RNAcentral.
CUUUGUCACUGAUUCUCAAAUUUACAGAACAAACACCAACCGAGUAGCAAGAAUCAGAUGACUCUUCAAGAAUGAAAAAUGUUUCAACACAGUAUUCUUGAACAUUCAUUUCUUCUUUUAAUUCCAUUAAUUUUACAAUAUUUCUCAGUUAAAUUAGACCAAAAUAUUGAAAUUGACUCUGAGGUUUCGAAUACAGAAAACACUACGAGCCAAAACUUCAUAAAAGUAGCACAUUUGGAGCAGAGAGUCCAAAAUUGUUUUUUAACCUGUUCAUAACUCAAUAACCAUGCAAUUAGCAUAGUUCCUUAAUCUUGCCAAGCUCCACAAGCAUAGUCAAAAGUGCCUUACACAUUUCACUGCAAUCAGGCUCAUUAGGAUCCUUCUUACCUGAAGAGUAAACCAUCCAUGCAUAUGGUUGAGCUUCCGGUUUGGUCUGACUACAACUGAACCUAGAACUUCAGCAUCUCAGUGAGUUACUAGUCCAUCACUUUUCUCUUCAUGCCUAAGCUACAAGUGAAAUGCGCACACAGAGAGAAUAUCAGGCUCCUGAACCGCAAGUCUUGGAAGGGGAAGCCGGGGGAACCCAAUGAGCCUCUAAUUUAACAGAUUCAUCAACAAUAUUACCUCCAACACAACAAAAUGGAAGUACAAUAAUAAAAUCCAGAAAAACGCAGAGAGAGAAGCCAAGAAACAAAGCCGGCCAGUCCUUUUAUCCAUUUGCUCGAAAGGACAGUCGCCCCAGGGCGGCGUCUCAUAAUUAUCCCAACUCCGAAUCAUUACACAAGAAACCCAGUUCCCAAAUUCAACAAUUCCACCAAAUAAGACCAAUAACUCAGCCAAAACCCAACCCAAAAAGAAAAAACACUAAUUUUAACAGACAAGCUGUAUAAUAUCGCAGAGAUCUUAACCGUCUCAGAGCUAGAGCUGCGAUUAAGCGUGCAAAUAUAUCGGAAGAAAAAAAAGAAAAUUUUAUGACUUUAGAGAUGUAAAUUUAAGACUGAAUCAGCACGAAUCACUGUAACGGUGCUAUCUGUUACAGAUGUUUCUCACCCAGAAAGAGGAGAAAAUGUCGUCGAAAAUCAAAAGAAGAAACAUUGAAACAGAGUUCAAAAAGAACUGAUGAGAACAUAGAGAUGGGUGCAGGAACUUACAGAGAUUAGAUUCGCUGUAUAGAGAGAGAGAGAGAUCAUAGCUCUCUG